Molecule: ribosomal RNA, 353 nt
Filed under: Salmonella enterica subsp. enterica serovar Agona str. 400095 13
Lineage: Bacteria; Pseudomonadati; Pseudomonadota; Gammaproteobacteria; Enterobacterales; Enterobacteriaceae
Description: bacterial SSU rRNA
Rfam family: Bacterial small subunit ribosomal RNA
Source: RNAcentral
UAGUGGCCCUUACGACCAGGGCUACACACGUGCUACAAUGGCGCAUACAAAGAGAAGCGACCUCGCGAGAGCAAGCGGACCUCAUAAAGUGCGUCGUAGUCCGGAUUGGAGUCUGCAACUCGACUCCAUGAAGUCGGAAUCGCUAGUAAUCGUGGAUCAGAAUGCCACGGUGAAUACGUUCCCGGGCCUUGUACACACCGCCCGUCACACCAUGGGAGUGGGUUGCAAAAGAAGUAGGUAGCUUAACCUUCGGGAGGGCGCUUACCACUUUGUGAUUCAUGACUGGGGUGAAGUCGUAACAAGGUAACCGUAGGGGAACCUGCGGUUGGAUCACCUCCUUACCUUAAAGAAGC